AGACCAAAUCAGAGAAGAGAAGGGACCCACCCCUGGUUCCAUAGCAAGCUUGCAGGGAGGGUCAACAGGAUCUCCUACAUCCCAAUGGAGGCGCUCCUGGACUCCCAAAGAGGACAGACACUUGAUGUCUCUUGUUUCCCCACAAAAGCCACAGAUCUGAUGCCUGCCAUGCCCGGUUCACCCCGCCGUGACAAGUCUCAGGGAACAGACAUGUUAGGACACUGUGAGGUCUGAUGGCCCUGCACAUGUGACAGGUAGACCCAGCCAGCCAGAGAGAUCACACCCCAAGGCCCAGAGGCAGGGGGCCAAGGGUGGGCAACUUGACAGUCAA
Balaenoptera musculus (blue whale) is the source of this 331-nucleotide long non-coding RNA. RefSeq lists it as uncharacterized. NCBI's taxonomy places the organism in Eukaryota, Metazoa, Chordata, Mammalia, Artiodactyla, Balaenopteridae. The record is from RefSeq and is a predicted model, not a curated record. The transcript has 3 exons.